GGAUAUAGCUCAGUGGUAGAGUGUGUGCCUGGCAUGCACGAGGUCCUGGGUUCAAUCUCCAGUACCUCCA
Molecule: transfer RNA, 70 nt
Filed under: Camelus bactrianus (Bactrian camel)
Lineage: Eukaryota; Metazoa; Chordata; Mammalia; Artiodactyla; Camelidae
Also listed under: 2 other names
Rfam family: tRNA
About the family: Transfer RNA (tRNA) molecules are approximately 80 nucleotides in length. Their secondary structure includes four short double-helical elements and three loops (D, anti-codon, and T loops).
Source: Rfam by way of RNAcentral